UAGGGAAUCUUCCGCAAUGGGCGAAAGCCUGACGGAGCAACGCCGCGUGAGUGAUGAAGGUCUUCGGAUCGUAAAACUCUGUUAUUAGGGAAGAACAAAUGUGUAAGUAACUAUGCACGUCUUGACGGUACCUAAUCAGAAAGCCACGGCUAACUACGUGCCAGCAGCCGCGGUAAUACGUAGGUGGCAAGCGUUAUCCGGAAUUAUUGGGCGUAAAGCGCGCGUAGGCGGUUUUUUAAGUCUGAUGUGAAAGCCCACGGCUCAACCGGGGAGGGUCAUUGGAAACUGGAAAACUUGAGUGCAGAAGAGGAAAGUGGAAUUCCAUGUGUAGCGGUGAAAUGCGCAGAGAUAUGGAGGAACACCAGUGGCGAAGGCGACUUUCUGGUCUGUAACUGACGCUGAUGUGCGAAAGCGUGGGGAUCAAACA
RNAcentral lists this ribosomal RNA (427 nucleotides) under uncultured bacterium. RNAcentral describes it as "partial 16S ribosomal RNA". It matches the Rfam family "Bacterial small subunit ribosomal RNA", at positions 355 to 774 of the family's 1533-position model. The record is from RNAcentral.